CACCACUAUGUUUGUCAAUAACAGACAUGUACUGUAGACUGUAUGCCUACAUUACAGUGUACUUUUAUUACAGAAAGAACGAACAUCAGCGUAGUUCCUUCAGUCACUAAAAUAAAGAUAGCAAAAUAACUUUGUAUAAACUUCAUGUAAAAGAUGGUUAAAGGAGCUUAUACAACACUGCAGCUUUUGCGAUACCCUCUAGUGUUUGGAGGUUGCUUGUUGGCAUACUUUACAGCUUUUUCGUACAGAAAAACAUAUUUCGGGCAAGAUAUUGAAGAAGCUAGAAGGAAAAAUGAGGAAAUUAACAAGAAGAAUUCAGCUUUUUUGGCAGAAAUGGCACGGCGAAGUAAAAUGAGAAAAGAAGCAGAGCAGCACUCAAAAGCGUAAACUCCUUCAGUUUUAUUUUCAAAUGGGGUCAACCAUUAGUUUUCUAACGUCAUUUUAAAAGUUGAUUUAAGCUACAAAAAUUAACUGCUAAUAUGUUUACAAACUUCAGCCAUUGACUGAAGUGAAGCUUAAAAAUUAAAUUUUAAUUGGUUUGUCUCAAAAUAAAUGAUUGAAAAUACUGUACUGUGCCAUACUGAUCUACUGUAAACCCAACGGCCUUGGGAAUAUUGUUUUUUUUUUUGUAGACAGACUUUGUAAAUAUGUGUAUAUUAUUAAUUUGAAAUGUUCAUAUCAAUAAAAAUAAAUUAAAAAAUGCUA
Physella acuta is the source of this 705-nucleotide long non-coding RNA. RefSeq lists it as uncharacterized. Lineage: Eukaryota; Metazoa; Mollusca; Gastropoda; Physidae. The record is from RefSeq and is a predicted model, not a curated record.